AAUGCAUUUUAUAUGAAUGGCCAAAAGCUGCAGAUUUUGCUCAGUUUCUGCUAUCAAUCUGCCAUUAAAUUGCGCGCAGAUCCUGCUCGGUUUCUGUCGCCAAUCUAUUGUCAGAUUCUGUGAGCAGGUUCUGCUGGCAGAUUGUAAGUCUAAUGCGAAUAUAACAAAGGUUAAUUGCGAACAAGAACUGAGAGAAUCUGUUGCCAAUCUACUGGAAUAUUGCGCGCAUUAUAUUUUGCUUACUUCAUGAAGAUGUCGUUUUUCAAUUCUGAUUUUUAUAGGUUUAGCAAAAUUUAGCAACAAGUUAUAAUAUAAAUCAAUUUGAUCUAUCUGAAUGCUCUCAUCUAUUUUAAAUACGAAUGUCCUAAACUAAACGGCAUGUAAAACGAAUCAGACUUUCCUAUAUCUUCAGGCAGGAAUCUGUCCGGAUCAAAUACUAACGGAUUGGGCCAGUGCUUUUCAUUUCGAUGUGCCGCCAUUAUUUGUAUAACAACAUCA
Cataglyphis hispanica is the source of this 498-nucleotide long non-coding RNA. RefSeq lists it as uncharacterized. The record is from RefSeq and is a predicted model, not a curated record. The transcript has 3 exons. NCBI's taxonomy places the organism in Eukaryota, Metazoa, Arthropoda, Insecta, Hymenoptera, Formicidae.